UGCAGGAUCCCGCGAACCAUCGAGUCUUUGAACGCAAGUUGCGCCCGAAGCCUUUUGGCCGAGGGCACGUCUGCCUGGGUGUCA
This 84-nucleotide ribosomal RNA is filed under the name Euphorbia esula (leafy spurge). Its description in RNAcentral is "partial 5.8S ribosomal RNA". It matches the Rfam family "5.8S ribosomal RNA", at positions 73 to 154 of the family's 154-position model. From Rfam's summary of the family: 5.8S ribosomal RNA (5.8S rRNA) is a component of the large subunit of the eukaryotic ribosome. It is transcribed by RNA polymerase I as part of the 45S precursor that also contains 18S and 28S rRNA. RNAcentral also lists the same sequence under 9 other names. The record is from RNAcentral. Lineage: Eukaryota; Viridiplantae; Streptophyta; Magnoliopsida; Malpighiales; Euphorbiaceae.